GCCCUAGUACGGCGAGUGAAGCGGCAACAGCUCAAAUUUGAAAUCUGGCGUCUUUGGCGUCCGAGUUGUAAUUUGCAGAGGGCGCUUUGGCAUUGGCAGCGGUCCAAGUUCCUUGGAACAGGACGUCACAGAGGGUGAGAAUCCCGUACGUGGUCGCUAGCCUUUACCGUGUAAAGCCCCUUCGACGAGUCGAGUUGUUUGGGAAUGCAGCUCUAAAUGGGAGGUAAAUUUCUUCUAAAGCUAAAUACUGGCCAGAGACCGAUAGCGCACAAGUAGAGUGAUCGAAAGAUGAAAAGCACUUUGGAAAGAGAGUUAAAAAGCACGUGAAAUUGUUGAAAGGGAAGCGCUUGCAGCCAGACUUGCCUGUAGUUGCUCAUCCGGGUUUCUACCCGGUGCACUCUUCUAUAGGCAGGCCAGCAUCAGUUUGGGCGGUUGGAUAAAGGUCUCUGUCAUGUACCUCCUCUCGGGGAGAACUUAUAGGGGAGACGACAUGCAACCAGCCUGGACUGAGGUCCGCGCAUCUGCUAGGAUGCUGGCGUAAUGGCUGUAAGCGGCCCGUCUUGAAACACGGACCAAGGAGUCUAACAUCUAUGCGAGUGUUUGGGUGUCAAGCCCGAACGCGUAAUGAAAGUGAACGGAGGUGGGAACCUUUCGGGGUGCACCAUCGACCGAUCCUGAUGUCUUCGGAUGGAUUUGAGUAAGAGCAUAGCUGUUGGGACCCGAAAGAUGGUGAACUAUGCUUGAAUAGGGUGAAGC
RNAcentral lists this ribosomal RNA (756 nucleotides) under [Anthodidymella] ranunculacearum (nom. inval.). RNAcentral's name for it is "Anthodidymella ranunculacearum partial large subunit ribosomal RNA". It matches the Rfam family "Eukaryotic large subunit ribosomal RNA", at positions 77 to 852 of the family's 3401-position model. Lineage: Eukaryota; Fungi; Ascomycota; Dothideomycetes; Pleosporales; Didymellaceae. The record is from RNAcentral.